ACAAUGCAUUUUGCAGCAUAAAAAAGAUGAAAAGAAGCUGGCAGAUCAGAUCUCAAAGGUUUUGGAGCAAAGAGACAAUGAUAUGAUGCACAUUCAGGAAAACCACACUAAGCUAAUUACUCAGAUGAAGCAAGAUCACAGUGAACAACUAAAGUGUCUGAGAGAGAAAAAUAUUUCUAUGUCGAAAAACUUUAAAUAUUUUAUUAAAGUAUUGGAGCAUGAACAUGAGCUAAGUUUCAGAAGCCGGAAGAUCGGACCUCCUCAGUUGUUUUGGAGCAAAAAGACAAGAAAACAAGUUCUAUGUGGAAAAACUUUAAAUAUGCGAUUAAAAAAUUGAAUCAUGAGCUAAGUUUCAGAAGCUGGAAGAUCGGAUCUCCUCAGUGGUUUUGGAGCAAAAAGACAAGGCUGUUAAGGCUAUUGAAAAAAUUGAAGCAAGCUGUGUCAUAAAACUCGCAAAUUGCAAAGAAGAGUCAACAAAGCAGAAGUUGAUGCACAUUCAAGAAGAACUCACUAAGCUGGUUACUCGUAUGCAGUAGUACAACCGUGAACGUUUGAAGGAUUUGAGACAGAAAACAAUUACUAUGUCAAGAGAGGUUGAAACUUUAUUUAAAGAAUUGGGGCAUCGACUUGAAGUUAAGGGUCAGAAAGCUGGAAGAGGAGUUGCUAUCAUUUGAAUGAGAUAAUGUAUUUUCUUUCAUAUGGGCUAGAUGCAUAAUUGAAUAUGUAGUGUUAACUUUCUUUGGUGGAGACCUAUACUUCGAUAUAUUCGAUAGGAAUUCUCUGAGUUAUUUCUAUCAGGUUCUCCUCAAUUCAUCCAACAAUGUCGAGUAUUACAAAUUUGCAUGAACUAAUAAUGAUCUGGUGCACUACUAGAGUACUAGGCCUAUAUGAUCAGUUUUGAUUUCUAUGUAAAUUCAAUUUAUGUUUAUAAUAAUUGUAAAGGAGGCUUUGAGGAUAUCUUGAUAAAGGGGAUGUAAAUCCAAUCCAACACCAUCAUCAACUGCACAUUUUAACAAAAAAUUAUGUGAAGUAAGAAGGUUGAGAAUGAUGUAGUUGAUGAAGGGAAAAGGGUUGCUGUUUUAGUGAAUGAAG
Long non-coding RNA from Trifolium pratense (red clover), 1092 nucleotides. RefSeq lists it as uncharacterized. The transcript is spliced from 7 exons. The record is from RefSeq and is a predicted model, not a curated record. Lineage: Eukaryota; Viridiplantae; Streptophyta; Magnoliopsida; Fabales; Fabaceae.